UGGGGGAGUAUUGCACAAUGGGGGGAACCCGUGAUGCAGCGACGCCGCGUGGGUGAAGAAGCGCCUCGGCGCGUAAAGCCCUGUCAGCAGGGAAGAAAAAUGACGGUACCUGAAGAAGAAGCCCCGGCUAACUACGUGCC
RNAcentral lists this ribosomal RNA (140 nucleotides) under uncultured bacterium. RNAcentral describes it as "partial 16S ribosomal RNA". It matches the Rfam family "Bacterial small subunit ribosomal RNA", at positions 354 to 509 of the family's 1533-position model. The record is from RNAcentral.